RNAcentral lists this non-coding RNA (30 nucleotides) under Mus musculus (house mouse). The record is from RNAcentral. Lineage: Eukaryota; Metazoa; Chordata; Mammalia; Rodentia; Muridae.
ACACAUUGUGAUAAUACAGAGGUCUAUGAA